UGGGGAAUCUUGGACAAUGGGCGAAAGCCUGAUCCAGCCAUGCCGCGUGAGUGAUGAAGGCCCUAGGGUCGUAAAGCUCUUUCGCCAGGGAUGAUAAUGACAGUACCUGGUAAAGAAACCCCGGCUAACUCCGCGCCAGCAGCCGCGGUAAUACGGAGGAUGCAAGCGUUAUCCGGAAUGAUUGGGCGUAAAGCGUCUGCAGGUGGCUAUGCAAGUCUGCUGUUAAAGAGUGGAGCUCAACUCCAUAAGGGCAGUGGAAACUGCAUAACUAGAGUACGUUCGGGGUAGAGGGAAUUCCUGGUGUAGCGGUGAAAUGCGUAGAUAUCAGGAAGAACACCGGUGGCGAAAGCGCUCUACUAGGCCGUAACUGACACUGAGAGACGAAAGCUAAGGGAGCGAAUGGGAUUAGAUACCCCCGUAGU
This 422-nucleotide ribosomal RNA is filed under the name uncultured prokaryote. Its description in RNAcentral is "bacterial SSU rRNA". It matches the Rfam family "Bacterial small subunit ribosomal RNA", at positions 355 to 794 of the family's 1533-position model. The record is from RNAcentral.